Molecule: long non-coding RNA, 1043 nt
Filed under: Homo sapiens (human)
Lineage: Eukaryota; Metazoa; Chordata; Mammalia; Primates; Hominidae
Description: HSALNT0368177
Source: RNAcentral
UGCCCAGCGCUCGCGUCUGCUCCAGUCGCUCUGGCGGUGCGGGGCGCUGGCGACGGGACAGGGUUUUUGCUGCCCGGGGCCUAGUCUACCUCGGCACGCUUUUCUCUGAAGGAGACACGCACUUGCACGACGUGGGCCUCUGUGCAGCUCUACUUUGUCCUUAACUCCUCUGACUCAACGUUAUCGCAGUUUGACUCUGGAGCCACUCAGGUUUUUCCUAAGCUCAACUCUAGCCAGCUAGGUUCCUGGUGCUUUGGGGGCUGGAGUGCAGUGGUAUGAUCAUGGCUCACUGCAGCCUCAACUACCCAGACUCAAGCAAUCCUCCUACCUCAGCCCGCCAAGUAACUGGGACUACUGGUGCACACCAUGACGCCCAGGUAAUUUUUGUAUUUUUCUAUAGAGCCUCCCAAAGUGCUGGGAUUACAGCAUCCUACCUAGGAAGUCUUUUUCUUGUCCAGGUGUGGUGGCUCAUGCCUAUAAGCCCAGCACUUUGGAAGGCUGAGGUGGGCAGAUCACUUGAGGCCAGGUAUUUGAGACCAGCCUGGCCAACAUGGUGAAACCUCAUCUCUACUAAAAAUACAAAAAAAAUAGCUGGGUGUGGUGGCACGUGCCUGUAAUCCCAGCUACUCGGGAGGCUGAGGCAAGAGAAUCGCUGGGACCUGGGAGGCGGAAGUUGCGGUGAGCCGGGAUCGCUCCAGUGCACUCCAGCCUGGGUGAUGGAGGGAGACCGUCUCAAAAGAAAAGAACAGAAAUAUUUGUCUAACCCAAGGCCCCAGAGAUUUUCUCCUAUGUUUUAUAGAUUUAGAAGUUUUAUAGUUUUAGCUCUAACCUAUAGUUAAGGGUCAGAGUUUUUCCAUGUGAAUAUCCAGUUGUUCCAGCACUAUUAUUGAAAAGUCUAUCUUUUCCCCCAUUGAAUUACAUUGGCUGCUUUGUUGAAAGUUAAAUAAAUAUAUUUGUGUGGGUCCAUUUUUGGAAAUUCUGUUCUAUUCCAUUUUACUAUAUGUCUAUGAUAAUCUUUUUAAUAAAGAAAACUAUUUUACUUU